This 292-nucleotide unclassified non-coding RNA is filed under the name uncultured fungus. RNAcentral describes it as "partial contains small subunit ribosomal RNA, internal transcribed spacer 1, and 5.8S ribosomal RNA". The stretch from base 1 to 73 matches the Rfam family "Eukaryotic small subunit ribosomal RNA", at positions 1759 to 1831 of the family's 1831-position model. Lineage: Eukaryota; Fungi. The record is from RNAcentral.
UCAAACUUGGUCAUUUAGAGGAAGUAAAAGUCGUAACAAGGUUUCCGUAGGUGAACCUGCGGAAGGAUCAUUAACGAAUUGGUUUGGGUUGUGCUGGCCGGCAACGGUAAUGUGCACGCCCUACUUCAUCCAAUACACCUGUGCACCUUUGACCCCGGUAGCGUUGAAAGACGCGAAAGGGUAUUUUUACACACUCUUGUAAAGUAUGUGAUAACUUGCAGACGCUUGCGUCAAACUAUAUACAACUUUCAACAACGGAUCUCUUGGCUCUCGCAUCGAUGAAGAACGCAGC